UACGGAGGGAGCUAGCGUUGUUCGGAAUUACUGGGCGUAAAGCGCGCGUAGGCGGCUUUGUAAGUUAGCGGUGAAAGCCCGGGGCUCAACUCCGGAACUGCCUUUAAGACUGCAUCGCUUGAAUCCGGGAGAGGUGAGUGGAAUUCCGAGUGUAGAGGUGAAAUUCGUAGAUAUUCGGAAGAACACCAGUGGCGAAGGCGGCUCACUGGACCGGUAUUGACGCUGAGGUGCGAAAGCGUGGGGAGCAAACAGG
Molecule: ribosomal RNA, 253 nt
Filed under: uncultured bacterium
Lineage: Bacteria
Description: partial 16S ribosomal RNA
Rfam family: Bacterial small subunit ribosomal RNA
Source: RNAcentral